This 19-nucleotide transfer RNA is filed under the name Trichopsis vittata (croaking gourami). Its description in RNAcentral is "partial tRNA-Thr". Lineage: Eukaryota; Metazoa; Chordata; Actinopteri; Anabantiformes; Osphronemidae. The record is from RNAcentral.
GCCUUAGUAGCUCAGCAUC